UCUGAAAUACUCAUGCUGCUACUGACAGAAAGAUUUCAAAGAGAAAUUGGAUUGAGAAGAUAAAAGCAUCUUGGACAGGAUGUGUUUGAGCUGACUUUAAGACAACUGGAUACAGAAGACCUUUUGCUUGGUCUGGGGAAAAUAUAAAUGCUAAGAGAAAAUGAAUUCUCUCAAAAAAGAAAAGCAACUGCAGUUUAAAUCUGGCUUUUGUAAGAGAUAGGGCUUCUCCAAGUCUAUCUUCUCAGCAAUUUUAUUUUAACUUUCUUGUUGUGCUACGAGGGGGUUUGUCCUCUUUUUAUAGAUUCCUAAGCUUUUACUCAUUCAGCACUUAAUUGUGGGUCUGAGAACUUGGCAGCUUGGCGCUUGAGUCUCAAACUUCCUUCAGCUUUUACCCGGAAACAUGAAAGGCUUAACUAGGAAGAUUCUUAAUCUGAAGUCCAUGAAAGCGGUUUCCUAAAACUCUCAAAAUUGUGAGAUUUUGUACACGUUUCUGGGAAAAGAAUCUGUGGCUUUCAUCAGAUUCUCCAAGAGUCUAGAACCUUCCACAUGGACUAAUGUAUUUCUAAGGAUCUUUCUGGCCCUGAGACUCUGGGAUUCAAUUGCCUAUCCAGGAUGCCUAUCCAAUCACCUUCCAAGAUGGCAUGGUUAUCCCAAGCAUAGGUGUGAGUCUGGCUCAGAUUUACCUGAAAUUUACCGCAGAUUCUAAGUUUCCGCUAUGAAUUUACAUUUUGUGAGAUACUAGUUGAACUCAGUUAAAGAGAGAUUUAAGUAAGAGUUGAAGAUGUCCUGCUCUCUGUUCUUUCUUGGUAUCUAAUUUCUUUUAGGUGUAGCAGUACAAAGUCAACAAUGUUGAGGUGUCUGCCUUUUCUGCUUUUAAAAGCUUGAUUGAUUCUCCUAUAAGAGGUCCCCACCCCCUUCCCUCCAAGGACAAGCUAAUGCACAGAAUAAUUUGUGAAAAAUCUACCUGGAUUUCAGUCUAAGAAAUUAUUGCUCUUCACAGUCUCUCCCUCUGAUUUUUAGAAAACUGAUGGAUAAUCAUUUGCUUGAGCGUGACACUCAGCUAUUUGAGAAUAACAUUGAGAUGGUUAAAUUUAAAUUAAACAUGAUAUGAGACGCCCUCUAGUCCUCCUUCCCCAGUUCUUCUGCUUCACCCAUGAAGGCUUCUUUGUGAAGCUCUGGAAACUUCUGGUAAGCAGGUUUUAUCCCCGCAGAUCUUUGAGCUCCAGUAAUUAGUCUUAGAUUCCCUAGGUAACUUGCAUGGUAAUUACUGCAUUAGCUUUCUUGAAUAGUUUUCUAACUUAAAAGAACUGUAUUCAUUUCUGUAGCCAAUUACAGAAAACUAAUAGGUACACAGUAACAGUCCUUAAUUUCUAUUUUACUUUCUUCCCGCCCCCAACCCCGAAAUACACACACUAUUAUUUUGUUUCUUAGUUUCUUUUGGAGCCACUAAUACCAUUUGAUUUUUAUAGACAUCGUCAGGUUUCAAAGAGAUGAGCUGGAAUCCAAGAUGACUGAAUAUUAUCAAUCACAUAUUUACUGAAAACUUAGUGGCAGGAAACAGUGCUAUUAUGUCAACCCACACAUUUAUGACUCAUGCAAAUGAGAUACCUUUCAAAUGACUUGUAAAACAGGUAUUUCGUGCCUGAUUACUUUGUUACAGAUAACUAUUACACUGUGGCAAUUUUAUUAAAU
RNAcentral lists this long non-coding RNA (1692 nucleotides) under Homo sapiens (human). RNAcentral's name for it is "HSALNT0159521". Lineage: Eukaryota; Metazoa; Chordata; Mammalia; Primates; Hominidae. The record is from RNAcentral.